AGGUUAACAUUGAGGUCCCUUUUGCAUUUAGUGCAAUUCCAGUUCAAGCAAUGGAAUCAAGUGGGACAAGAAUCCUUGAACAAAUACUUGGGCUUAUGCUUCCGCGGCACAGCUUGUGAAAGACUAUCAAGCAUGGGCUACUGGUGACACCUCAAGGCAGCCUCUUGGAACAGGUAAGAUUUGAGAUUUGAGGAAAGCAGCG
RNAcentral lists this unclassified non-coding RNA (202 nucleotides) under Hevea brasiliensis (rubber tree). The record is from RNAcentral. Lineage: Eukaryota; Viridiplantae; Streptophyta; Magnoliopsida; Malpighiales; Euphorbiaceae.